GUGGGGAAUAUUGGACAAUGGGCGAAAGCCUGAUCCAGCCAUGCCGCGUGAGUGAUGAAGGCCUUAGGGUUGUAAAGCUCUUUCAGUAGGGAAGAUAAUGACGGUACCCACAGAAGAAGCCCCGGCUAACUUCGUGCCAGCAGCCGCGGUAAUACGAAGGGGGCUAGCGUUGUUCGGAUUUACUGGGCGUAAAGCGCACGUAGGCGGAUCGUUAAGUCGGGGGUGAAAUCCUGGAGCUCAACUCCAGAACUGCCUUCGAUACUGGCGAUAUUGAGUCCGGAAGAGGUGAGUGGAACUCCUAGUGUAGAGGUGGAAUUCGUAGAUAUUAGGAAGAACACCAGUGGCGAAGGCGGCUCACUGGUCCGGUACUGACGCUGAGGUGCGAAAGCGUGGGGAGCAAACAGGAUUAGAAACCCGAGUAGUCC
This 425-nucleotide ribosomal RNA is filed under the name uncultured bacterium. RNAcentral's name for it is "partial 16S ribosomal RNA". It matches the Rfam family "Bacterial small subunit ribosomal RNA", at positions 354 to 796 of the family's 1533-position model. The record is from RNAcentral.